GACGAACGCUGGCGGCGUGCUUAACACAUGCAAGUCGAACGGAAAGGCCCUGCUUUUGUGGGGUGCUCGAUUGGCGAACGGGUGAGUAACACGUGAGUAACCUGCCCUUGACUUUCUGAUAACUUCAGGAAACUCGGGCUAAUACCCGAUAGGAGCUCCUGCUCCAUGGGGGGGGUUGGAAAGUUUCGGCGGUUCGGGCUAGACUCGAGGGUUAUCCGCUUCUUGGUCGGGUAGUUGCUUACCAGGGCUGUGACGGAUAGGCGGCCUGAGAGGGUUGCCGGCGACCUUGCGCCUGAGGGACGGACCAGAAUCCUACGGGAGGCAGCAGUGGAGAACAUUGCACAAUGGGCGGAAGCGUGAUGUAGCAACGCUGCGUGCGGGAUGACGGCCUUCGGGUUGUAAACCGCUGUCGCCUGUGACGAAGCGUGAGUGACGGUAAUGGGUAAAGAAGCACCGGCUAACUACGUG
RNAcentral lists this ribosomal RNA (468 nucleotides) under uncultured bacterium. RNAcentral's name for it is "partial 16S ribosomal RNA". It matches the Rfam family "Bacterial small subunit ribosomal RNA", at positions 28 to 507 of the family's 1533-position model. The record is from RNAcentral.